UACGGGGGGGGCAAGCGUUGUUCGGAAUUACUGGGCGUAAAGGGCUCGUAGGCGGCCAACUAAGUCCGACGUGAAAUCCCCAGGCUCAACCUGGGAACUGCGUCCGAUACUGGAUGGCUUGAAUCCGGGAGAGGGAUGCAGAAUUCCAGGUGUAGCGGUGAAAUGCGUAGAUAUCUGGAGGAAUACCGGUGGCGAAGGCGGCAUCCUGGACCGGCAUUGACGCUGAGGAGCGAAAGCCAGGGGAGCAAACGGG
RNAcentral lists this ribosomal RNA (253 nucleotides) under uncultured bacterium. Its description in RNAcentral is "partial 16S ribosomal RNA". It matches the Rfam family "Bacterial small subunit ribosomal RNA", at positions 524 to 776 of the family's 1533-position model. The record is from RNAcentral.